GAUGAACGCUGGCGGCGUGCCUAAUACAUGCAAGUCGAGCGAACGGACGAGAAGCUUGCUUCUCUGAUGUUAGCGGCGGACGGGUGAGUAACACGUGGAUAACCUACCUAUAAGACUGGGAUAACUUCGGGAAACCGGAGCUAAUACCGGAUGAUAUUUUGAACCGCAUGGUUCAAAAGUGAAAGACGGUCUUGCUGUCACUUAUAGAUGGAUCCGCGCUGCAUUAGCUAGUUGGUAAGGUAACGGCUUACCAAGGCAACGAUGCAUAGCCGACCUGAGAGGGUGAUCAGCCACACUGGAACUGAGACACGGUCCAGACUCCUACGGGAGGCAGCAGUAGGGAAUCUUCCGCAAUGGGCGAAAGCCUGACGGAGCAACGCCGCGUGAGUGAUGAAGGUCUUCGGAUCGUAAAACUCUGUUAUUAGGGAAGAACAUAUGUGUAAGUAACUGUGCACAUCUUGACGGUACCUAAUCAGAAAGCCACGGCUAACUUCGUG
RNAcentral lists this ribosomal RNA (497 nucleotides) under uncultured bacterium. Its description in RNAcentral is "partial 16S ribosomal RNA". It matches the Rfam family "Bacterial small subunit ribosomal RNA", at positions 28 to 507 of the family's 1533-position model. The record is from RNAcentral.